Molecule: ribosomal RNA, 406 nt
Filed under: uncultured bacterium
Lineage: Bacteria
Description: partial 16S ribosomal RNA
Rfam family: Bacterial small subunit ribosomal RNA
Source: RNAcentral
AUUGAACGCUGGCGGCAGGCCUAACACAUGCAAGUCGAACGAGUGGCGGACGGGUGAGUAAUGUCUGGGAAACUGCCUGAUGGAGGGGGAUAACUACUGGAAACGGUAGCUAAUACCGCAUACCAUCAGAUGUGCCCAGAUGGGAUUAGCUAGUUGGUGGGGUAACGGCUCACCAAGGCGACGAUCCCUAGCGGGUCUGAGAGGAUGACCAGCCAAACGGGAACUGAGACACGUUCCAGCCUCUUACGGUAGGCAGCAGUGGGGACUAUUGCACAAUGGGGGCAAGCCCGACGAAGCCAUGCCGAGUGUAUGAAGAAGGCCUUCGCGUUGGAAAGUACUUUCAGCGGGGAGGCGGUACCCGCAGAAGAAGGACCGGCUAACUCCGUGCCAGCAGCCGCGGUAAUUC